AGUGAACGCUGGCGGUAGGCCUAACACAUGCAAGUCGAACGGCAGCACAGUAAGAGCUUGCUCUUACGGGUGGCGAGUGGCGGACGGGUGAGGAAUACAUCGGAAUCUACUUUUUCGUGGGGGAUAACGUAGGGAAACUUACGCUAAUACCGCAUACGACCUACGGGUGAAAGCAGGGGAUCUUCGGACCUUGCGCGAUUGAAUGAGCCGAUGUCGGAUUAGCUAGUUGGCGGGGUAAAGGCCCACCAAGGCGACGAUCCGUAGCUGGUCUGAGAGGAUGAUCAGCCACACCGGAACUGAGACACGGUCCAGACUCCUACGGGAGGCAGCAGUGGGGAAUAUUGGGCAAUGGGCGCAAGCCUGAUCCAGCCAUACCGCGUGGGUGAAGAAGGCCUUCGGGUUGUAAAGCCCUUUUGUUGGGAAAGAAAAGCAGCAGGUUAAUACCCCGCUGUUCUGACGGUACCCAAAGAAUAAGCACCGGCUAACUUCGUG
This 492-nucleotide ribosomal RNA is filed under the name uncultured bacterium. RNAcentral's name for it is "partial 16S ribosomal RNA". It matches the Rfam family "Bacterial small subunit ribosomal RNA", at positions 29 to 507 of the family's 1533-position model. The record is from RNAcentral.